RNAcentral lists this small RNA (721 nucleotides) under Rattus norvegicus (Norway rat). RNAcentral's name for it is "uncharacterized LOC102546970". Lineage: Eukaryota; Metazoa; Chordata; Mammalia; Rodentia; Muridae. The record is from RNAcentral.
UUAUACAUAAACGGCUUGGAGGAGUGGUUAGAAUUCCGGUAAAAAUCCAGUGACCCUAGAUUGUCAGCAGUCAGCAAGCAGGAUCCAAAAAGACUCUUGCAAGUUGGCACGGCAGAUCUCCUGAAGAAUGGUGGCCAUUUUGCUGGGAGAUCUGUGCUCUAUAACACAAUGGUCUCUGCCACUGGGAAGGGGAGCCUCCUUGGAACAGUGGUCUGAAAUGGAUAAAUGCCUUACCUGGGUUUGGUGUUGCUGUUGACUUCUUCAUAAGAGGCAAAACUCAGACAUCUAACAUCCAACAUCUGGGACAGGAUGUUCAGCCUCUGUGGAUAUCAGAGCAGAGUCACCAUUCUUCCCAGCCUUGUUCUAACAACAGCGUGAGCCUUUCCAAAUAUUUACAAUCAGUUGGCACUGAACCAGCUGCCACGGAACUUCUGCGAGUUGGAAAGAGGUCCCCUUAUGUAAGAGGAAAUGGACCGUGUGGCCUGGUGGGGGAAAAUCCACCCCGGUGCAUCUUGGGAUUGGCCCUUGUCUCAGCAUGACAGUCAUCCACUGACCUACUAGUCACACCUCUCCUUUAGAAAGAGUAGAUCACUCAGCGUCUUUGAAGGUAGCCCAUGCUGGUCUGAAAUGUCUUUGCAACAAGGCUAAGGGAUCCGGAGACACUGAAGUUUGAGCUGACACCAAUUAUGCUGCAAGGGUGAAAAUUAAUUAAAAGUUUUCA